AAGGAGCUCACCACAGCCCUGGUCAACCAGUGGCCCUCCCUGAGCACACUCAGUAGACCGGAGGGUGCCAGCAACUCCAAGCUAUUUCGGAGACACAGCUUCAUGAGUACGGAGCCCCUGUCUGCAGAGGCCAGCCUGAGCUCAGACUCCCAGCGCCUGGGUGAGGGCAAGAGGGACGAGGAACCCUGGGGCCCCAUCGGAAGCUCAGAACCAAAUUAGUGGCUCCCUCCGAGUGAAUGCCCAGGACUUCAACGCAUGCGUUUUGUGUUGACCCCCCCCCUCCACCUUGGUUACGCCCUUCCUAGUUUCCCCCCAUGCCUGGACCUCCUGUCUUUUUUUUCUUUAAUAUAUAGAUAUAUAAUUAUACUGUAUCAGAUAACUUGACUUUGAGGC
This 393-nucleotide long non-coding RNA is filed under the name Rattus norvegicus (Norway rat). RNAcentral describes it as "long non-coding RNA NONRATT004935". Lineage: Eukaryota; Metazoa; Chordata; Mammalia; Rodentia; Muridae. The record is from RNAcentral.